CGCGUAGGCGGCUCUGUAAGUCUGGAGUGAAAGUCCUCUUUUCAAGGGAGGAAUUGCUUUGGAAACUAUAGAGCUUGAGUGCAGGAGAGGUUAUCGGAAUUCUCGGUGUAGCGGUGAAAUGCGUAGAUAUCGGGAGGAACAUCGGUGGCGAAGGCGGGUAACUGGACUGCAACUGACGCUGAGGCGCGAAAGUGUGGGGAGCAAACA
Molecule: ribosomal RNA, 207 nt
Filed under: uncultured bacterium
Lineage: Bacteria
Description: partial 16S ribosomal RNA
Rfam family: Bacterial small subunit ribosomal RNA
Source: RNAcentral